AGUGAACGCUGGCGGUAGGCCUAACACAUGCAAGUCGAACGGCAGCACAGGAGAGCUUGCUCUCUGGGUGGCGAGUGGCGGACGGGUGAGGAAUACAUCGGAAUCUACUCUGUCGUGGGGGAUAACGUAGGGAAACUUACGCUAAUACCGCAUACGACCUACGGGUGAAAGCAGGGGACCUUCGGGCCUUGCGCGAUUGAAUGAGCCGAUGUCGGAUUAGCUAGUUGGCGGGGUAAAGGCCCACCAAGGCGACGAUCCGUAGCUGGUCUGAGAGGAUGAUCAGCCACAAUGGAACUGAGACACGGGCCAGACUCCUACGGGAGGCAGCAGUGGGGAAUAUUGGACAAUGGGCGCAAGCCUGAUCCAGCCAUACCGCGUGGGUGAAGAAGGCCUUCGGGUUGUAAAGCCCUUUUGUUGGGAAAGAAAUCCAGCUGGCUAAUACCCGGUUGGGAUGACGGUACCCAAAGAAUAAGCACCGGCUAACUUCGUGCCAGCAGCCGCCGUAA
Molecule: ribosomal RNA, 506 nt
Filed under: uncultured bacterium
Lineage: Bacteria
Description: partial 16S ribosomal RNA
Rfam family: Bacterial small subunit ribosomal RNA
Source: RNAcentral